Molecule: long non-coding RNA, 1427 nt
Organism: Rosa chinensis
Lineage: Eukaryota; Viridiplantae; Streptophyta; Magnoliopsida; Rosales; Rosaceae
Exons: 12
Source: RefSeq, a predicted model, not a curated record
UGAUGCUUGGUGUCUUCGGGAAGACUCUAUCAAGAUUGACAUUCACUGUUUCGCAGCAUCAAUCCGAAUUUGUUGCAGAAGAGGGAGAGAGAGAGAGAGAGACUGUGAGAGGAAAGAAGAAGUGAUCGAUCUGGAUUUAUUGCAGAAGAGGUGUAGAGAGAGAGAGAGGUAUCUGCGUCUGGAAUAGUUGCAGGUUGUAUGCAAAAGGCAAUUUCAAGCUUAUCCAUCACAAUCAGUCUCAGCAAAAGCUUGCUCGGAAGUUCAGGCUCUGUUACUAAUCUGAUCGCUGAGGUAGGAAAAAGAAGAGGAAAGAUCCAAGAUUUUGGUCAAUUUUCGGAUGAGGGUUUGGGUUUGUUUUGGAAGAGGUUCCUGCUGAAAUUUUAAUCGAUUUUGGGAGAAAGCUUUCAACAGAAGAAGAGAUGUGAAUGAAGGUGAUUGCUUUAAGCUUCGGGUUGAAUGGAGAUAAGGGUGAUGAUGGUGUUGCUAUCGAAAAGAGUGGUAGAGGUUAUUGAAUUCUUUUUUCUGAAUAAUUGAUCUGAUUUUGUUUAGAACCUGCAACACAUAUUAGAUAGAUGCAUCAAGCUCAGAUGGCUGUGUGUAAUAUGCAGCUUUCUUUUCAGAAUCUGCAACACAAUUGAUAUCACACCAAAGAUUGUCAAACCAUUCCUGGAUACUUUCCUCUGUUGCAGGAACAAUUUGAGGAUCUUACAGCCCAGGGUUGCGAUCGUCUUGCCCGUGUAGAGAUAGGAAGGGAUUGGUACAAUAGGAAGGGAUCAUCGCCAUUGUUGAAGAUCCACCUCCCAGGAGCAUUGACUUUUGAGGCUUCAAGAAGAACUACAAGUACCUUUUGACGAGACUCACCCUGCAUCUUUCGGAGAUUAUUGUUCAAGCAAGUUGGGAGUCGAGCAACUUGGGAAUACCUAUUUGUUGUUGCUGGCAUAAACAUAUCAUUUAUGUUGAUUCAAUUGUUGGCUCUUGGGUCAGCAAGACCAAGGUGUCUUCCCGGGAUAAAUUUCUUGCACUUAUUAGGAGAAGAUGAACCUGCUUCUGAUGUACUGUUCCGUAUAGCUUUUGACAUGGUCGAUGCUCAGUGGCUUGCUAUGAAUGCAUCCUGCAUGCAGUUUAAUGAGCUCUCCAGAUGACUAACUCAUAGGGCUUUCAAUUCCUUCAAGAUGUUCUGCAAGCAACGCGGACGUGGUUGGAAAGAGAACCAUCUUUAGAAGAUAUCAAGAGUAUAUAAGAUUUACCAACUUAUAGUCUGUUGUACCAGUAGCUUUUUGGUAGUACAAAAAAACAUUAGCACUGUGCUUGGACUCGGAGAAAUUUCAAUGAAUUCAUAGGGAUACCAUGACAACAACGCUUUGCAUAAAACAGUGGGAUAUCUUUUUCAUUGCCUCAUUUCCACUUUGAUAUCCGUUAUGAUUUUA